GACGUAGGAUGCAAGCGUUGUCCGGAUUUAUUGGGCGUAAAGAGUUCGUAGGUGGUUUGUUAAGUCUGAUGUUAAAGACUGGGGCUCAACCUCGGGACUGCAUUGGAUACUGGCAGACUUGAGUGCGGUAGAGGCAAGUGGAAUUCCAGGUGUAGCGGUGAAAUGCGUAGAUAUCUGGAAGAACACCGGUGGCGCAAGCGACUUGCUGGGCCGUAACUGACACUGAGGAACGAAAGCUAGGGGAGCGAAUGGGAU
Molecule: ribosomal RNA, 255 nt
Filed under: uncultured bacterium
Lineage: Bacteria
Description: partial 16S ribosomal RNA
Rfam family: Bacterial small subunit ribosomal RNA
Source: RNAcentral